CAGUAAGGAAUAUUGGUCAAUGGAGGCAACUCUGAACCAGCCAUGCCGCGUGCAGGAAGACUGCCCUAUGGGUUGUAAACUGCUUUUAUCCGGGAAUAAACCUACUUACGUGUAAGUAGCUGAAUGUACCGGAAGAAUAAGGAUCGGCUAACUCCGUGCCAGCAGCCGCGGUAAUACGGAGGAUCCAAGCGUUAUCCGGAUUUAUUGGGUUUAAAGGGUGCGUAGGCGGCCUGUUAAGUCAGGGGUGAAAGACGGUAGCUCAACUAUCGCAGUGCCCUUGAUACUGAUGGGCUUGAAUGGACUAGAGGUAGGCGGAAUGAGACAAGUAGCGGUGAAAUGCAUAGAUAUGUCUCAGAACACCGAUUGCGAAGGCAGCUUACUAUGGUCUUAUUGACGCUGAGGCACGAAAGCGUGGGGAUCAAACAGGAUUAGA
RNAcentral lists this ribosomal RNA (433 nucleotides) under uncultured bacterium. RNAcentral describes it as "bacterial SSU rRNA". It matches the Rfam family "Bacterial small subunit ribosomal RNA", at positions 352 to 782 of the family's 1533-position model. The record is from RNAcentral.